Molecule: ribosomal RNA, 375 nt
Filed under: uncultured bacterium
Lineage: Bacteria
Description: bacterial SSU rRNA
Rfam family: Bacterial small subunit ribosomal RNA
Source: RNAcentral
UAAUACGAAGGGGGCUAGCGUUGCUCGGAAUCACUGGGCGUAAAGGGCGCGUAGGCGGCCGAUCAAGUCAGAGGUGAAAGCCCAAGGCUCAACCUUGGAAUUGCCUUUGAUACUGUUCGGCUCGAGACCGGAAGAGGUAAGUGGAACUGCGAGUGUAGAGGUGAAAUUCGUAGAUAUUCGCAAGAACACCAGUGGCGAAGGCGGCUUACUGGUCCGGUUCUGACGCUGAGGCGCGAAAGCGUGGGGAGCAAACAGGAUUAGAUACCCUGGUAGUCCACGCCGUAAACGAUGGAUGCUAGCCGUUGGCAGGCUUGCCUGUCAGUGGCGCAGCUAACGCUUUAAGCAUCCCGCCUGGGGAGUACGGUCGCAAGAUUA